GCGCGCGUAGCUCAAUCGGCAGAGCAGUAGCCUCUUAAGCUAACGGUUGGGGGUUCGAUUCCCUCCGCGCGCA
This 73-nucleotide transfer RNA is filed under the name Candidatus Moraniibacteriota bacterium. RNAcentral describes it as "tRNA-Lys". It matches the Rfam family "tRNA". From Rfam's summary of the family: Transfer RNA (tRNA) molecules are approximately 80 nucleotides in length. Lineage: Bacteria; Candidatus Moraniibacteriota. The record is from RNAcentral.